Molecule: non-coding RNA, 3278 nt
Organism: Equus caballus (horse)
Lineage: Eukaryota; Metazoa; Chordata; Mammalia; Perissodactyla; Equidae
Source: RefSeq, a predicted model, not a curated record
UGAACACCUGGAGACACUCUCGGGCAGAUCAUGGGACGACGGCAUCGCUUAUUUGACUCAUUCCUAUACUUUUAACCCAACAAACCAUCACACAUGGAGAUGUUAAAGCCGUCAACUUUUCUUUGUAAAUGUUUCUACCCAGGAAGACAUUAUUUCACCCACCAUGAAGUCUUCUGGAAACACAUUCCUCCGAAGCAGCAAAAGCGAUGUGUUCUAAAAGCUAUGAAGAUGGAAAUCAUGAUUAACGUGUCACCUGCAGGAUAUUCAGAUACAUGAGCUCUGUGAUGAUUUUAAGGUCCAUGGCUCCUCCAGAAGCACACCUCGACUCUCCCUGAGCACCCUCUCCCUUGCUGAGCGUCUGCGGAUACGGGGACAAGGGAAUGCAGAUGGCGACUCUUGGGGAUGACAGGAUGAGUGUCACCUGGAAACGUCAGUGUCAGAAGUGAGCAGAGGUCACUAUGCCAAUUCACCUGUGCUACAAGCACAGUGACCUAGAAGAUCAUUAUAGGGUCACCUGGGAUGGCACACCUGUUUCCCAACACUUAGCUCACCUGAGAACUGACUGCAACCUGAGGUGCAGACAGCAAAGAACAGUCCUCCAGAAGGUGAACCAGAAGCUCAUCAGGUUGAUGAAUAACUGACAAUUACGCAAGGUGACAUGAUCAUAAACAAGAGGACUAUCUGCCAAGGGUUAUGAGUUACCUGAUUACGAGGCAUAGGGGAAAAAUCUCCGGCUUAACAAACACUUUACACAGUGCAUUUGAUCUGAUAGCGUAAAAGGACUCUCUGACCAUUUCAUUAGUCCUGAACUGCAUCUCAGUAAGGACUCCUGCAGCCUGUAUUCUGAUCUCCACACGGGAGAGGGGAGGCGCAGGAAACCAGGUACCGCUGCCCAGGAACACACCAGGAUAUGGACCAACCACGCUCUCAGACCAUGCUUCGACGAUUAAUUAAGGUUUCCAGAAACAGCCAGCCCUUGGUUAUCCAUGGAAAUUUUAGACACAAGAAAUUUUGACUCACUCCCUAUAUUGCUGAGUCACCUGGCCUAAACGUGAGUCCAACCUGGAACUCAGGGUACACACAAAUAUUUUAGUAGGAAUGGUAGUGGCAGCAGUAACACCAAUAAUCAUCGACAGUGAGAAGGGACCAUGCGCCAAGCACUAUCCUAAGCAUUUAACGUGCAUUAUUUCAUUUAAUUCUCCCAAGAAAUCUAGAAGGUAAGUAGUAUCACGACCCUACAGAUAAGGAAGUUAAGGUUCAAGCAAGUUAACUAACUUGCUGAAGGUCAAAUGCAAAUGGUUUGCUUCUGGAACCUGUAAACCUCAGCACCAAAAUGGAGAGUGUGCAUACAAAUGUUCUCUGAUACACACACACAUAUGCUUCAUACACAUUAUCUUUAAUCAUUCAUGUCAGAUGAAAAAGUCAAGUUAUUAUUAUUAUGACUUUCUAUUUAUGUUCCUGGCACAUGGGCAUUGCAGACAAAACACCUUUCCAUUUGUCUAGCAAAUUUCAAAGGGCGCUCAACUAUCUCAGGUGGCCCUAAACAACCUGAUGAAGGAAUCUGAGAAGUUUAAGUCCAUUUAUCGCCAAGAAAACAGGCUCCGAAGAGAGAGAGGCUUGCCCUAGAUCAUGAUCAGCAAGAAGCCGAAGCCGGAUUCAAGCCUCAGUCUCCUGUGCUGCCUCCCUCUUUCCACCAAACCAGGUUGCUUCCGUGAGAAAAUCCAGCCUGCUGGAAAUGUUUUCAAAUCUACAUGUAUGGGUCAGAGGGCUCCAACACCUGCGUAAAAGGCUGUACCAAGAUAAACAGAAUCGCACAAAGUGGGCAACUUGUCUAUGCAGCUGCCACUGCUUACACCCUCCCUCCCCAGGUGGGACCCAAGUCUCUGAAUUCACCCGGCAGGAAGGAGAUUCCAAAAAUCAUGUGCUACUUUAGAGAAACCUUUAAAGGGAAUGAGGGAAAGAAAGGGCUUUGGUUUGACGGACAUGGUCUAAAAUGGCUGACAGAAAGCUCAACUCCAAUAUCAUUCUGCUGGAAUUAUCCACACUGCAUUUGUUUGGCAAAACAAACACAGCCCUAAAUUACACUGAACUCCUGGGGUAGGGUCUCCAGGAUCUAUGUGGUCCACACAUCACAGUGAGGACGUGAUUUACAUUUCUGAUAAGUUACAUCCUUGUAAGUGCAUGUUGAGUACUUCUACGUGCAUAUAUAAGAGACUGCUAUUAAUCUUUUAAGACAACAGAAAGAAGCGUUGCACUUUGGGUCUCCCAACUGUGCAGCUGUUCCCCACAACAGUGCAUCCAUUUCAGUAGCACUUUCUUCCCCCACGCGGAAGCCCUAAGGACAAUUUACAGCUAGCGGGGCACCCUUGCUUGGUAAACUUACUCUGACCACUUAGGCUGCGGUGAAUCCGCAUGGCAGGCCCCAGGCAUCACCCAGCAGAGAGGCUCUUCACAAAUACCCGACGGCUUGUGAAGAUGCCCACCGCUCAGAGACGCCAGCAGUCUUCUGCAUCCCAGAGGCGGCCACGCAAGGAAGGGGGUCUCUUCUUGGGAGAGCGCUCCUCUGAUUGUGUACCACCUUCCAGCAAUGGGAAAGUAAUGAUCAAAUGCUUGCAAAUGAAGACUCUCAGAACCUAGCUGAAAUGAGUCUGGGGUUCUGUUUAGGUGUUUUAAAGUAAAGAAAGAUCCUUUGAUAUUAAAAAACCUCCCCUAGCACUCCACCUGCCCACCAGGAGCCCCACUCCUCUCUGGUAUUUGCCAGGACUAAGCAUAUAAAAGCACUAGGUAUUCAGGGCACAUGGGAACCACUGCAUCGGUUGUUGGUCCUCCCCAUUCUGUAGCAUGUGAGUGUGCUGGUAUACUCCAUCUGCCCCAGAGAGCCACUCCCUACCCUCCUCCACUCUCCUCCCAGUCCUAGGAGACUAACAUUUGUGGAUGCCUUGACAGGCUCCCUUGCCCACUGACUUCCAGUCUGGUUCCACCAAAGGGAGACACUGGUGAGAGAAGUGAGGGUGGGAGGGGACUGAGGGCAGGGUAUACAUUCCCCUGGCUCCCUCCAGCGAGCUACAUCCUGCUACCAAAGGCCAUGCCCCUUUGUGGGCCAUAACCUCAGCUACUCUCUCCUCUCCUUCACCCCCUCAGACCUGGGGUGAGGAAAGUUCCCUGGUGUAGCCAGACAUCGCCCCUACCCAGGGGUGGUACGCCAUCCUUGCAGGGUUCCUGGAUCCCUGCCCACUGCUAUAAACUGGCUCUUUAUUAAACGCUCCUCAGUUACUUCA